Molecule: ribosomal RNA, 492 nt
Filed under: uncultured bacterium
Lineage: Bacteria
Description: partial 16S ribosomal RNA
Rfam family: Bacterial small subunit ribosomal RNA
Source: RNAcentral
AGUGAACGCUGGCGGUAGGCCUAACACAUGCAAGUCGAACGGCAGCACAGUAAGAGCUUGCUCUUACGGGUGGCGAGUGGCGGACGGGUGAGGAAUAUAUCGGAAUCUACUUUUUCGUGGGGGAUAACGUAGGGAAACUUACGCUAAUACCGCAUACGCCCUACGGGUGAAAGCAGGGGAUCUUCGGACCUUGCGCGAUUGAAUGAGCCGAUGUCGGAUUAGCUAGUUGGCGGGGUAAAGGCCCACCAAGUCGACGAUCCGUAGCUGGUCUGAGAGGAUGAUCGGCCACACUGGAACGUAGACACGGUCCAUACUCCUACGGGAGGCAGCAGUGGGGAAUAUUGGACAAUGGGCGCAAGCCUGAUCCAGCCAUACCGCGUGGGUGAAGAGGGCCUUCGGGUUGUAAAGCCGUUUUGUUGGGAAAGAAAAGCGGCAGGUUAAUACCCCGCUGUUCUGACGGUACCCAAAGAAGAAGCACCGGCUAACUUCGUG